CUCCCUAAGAGAAGCACCGCACAUGCAGCCUCCGCGGUUGCGAGAUAGCGUGUAGCAAUCUUCUGUGCCACCACUCUCUUCCUCUCUCGAGUCGCUACCUCAAUCCUUCCUCUUCCCUUCGUUCGUCUUUCCUCUUCUCCUCCUCCACCAGCGAGAACAAUUGCAUACACAACAGCAAUAAUGAAGCAAGCAGUUGCCACCAGCUACUCCAUUACCAAAGAAACAACCGCAGCGGCAAAGCAGCAACAGUAGUGAGGCAGCGCAAUAAUAGCGAUCGAUGCCUCCAAGUAGAGAAUCCCCAUUCACCUCUUUUUUUCCAUCUUUAUUGAUGAGAACAAACAACAGGCAGAAGCAAAGACAGCCCCUCUUCUUUUUUCGGCGAGGACGAACAACGCACUCCGGCAGAGAUUUUGAAGACUUUGAGACGGAUCUUAACAGAUCUGUCCAGAUAAGUUUUCCCAAUUAAUUUUAUGGGCUCAAGAUCACAUACUAGGCAUUAUGGUGAAGACACCUUCCUCCAACAACAUGCAAUAUAUAGUUAUAUAUUACUCAAGAAUUGUCUUCAACUUUGAAAACAUCGUCAAUUGCAAGCAACCAUGAAAGAUCAUUUGUAAAGCUCAAGACCACUACUACUUGCAGGCUUAAGACCACUUACAUUGGAAGGAAUUGGACCAGUUAGGGAAUUGAGCAACAUAUUUAAGGUUUCAAGUUGUGGACUCCAGCUACCAUUACAGGAAAAGCCCAUAAAGCUGUUAGUUUGAAGCGAUAUGGCUAUGAUAUUCUUAAUGUGAACAGGGAAAUUGGUCCAUCUAAUUGUUAUUAUCAAGGAUAAAAUCCCCUAUGCUUGUGAUAUUUCAUAGAGGUCGAGGAAUGAAGCCUAAGAGAUUACAUGAUCUCAAGUACAAUUGACGUAAUUAAGUUAAAUAGCUAAAUGAUUUAGAUAUCCUCUCAAUAAAACUCACUCCAUUUACAUAUAACUCCAUGAGAGUUUCACUGUUAUUAUCUUUGAUUGUGGGAAACCAUACUGUGAGCUGUAAUUUGGAUGAUAAAUAAAGAUAUUUCAAGUUUGAA
This is a non-coding RNA of Solanum lycopersicum (tomato), 1071 nucleotides long. The record is from RefSeq and is a predicted model, not a curated record. NCBI's taxonomy places the organism in Eukaryota, Viridiplantae, Streptophyta, Magnoliopsida, Solanales, Solanaceae.